RNAcentral lists this non-coding RNA (140 nucleotides) under Nomascus leucogenys (northern white-cheeked gibbon). Lineage: Eukaryota; Metazoa; Chordata; Mammalia; Primates; Hylobatidae. The record is from Rfam by way of RNAcentral.
GCCAGGCGUGGUGGCGCACACCUGUAAUCCCAGCUACUAGGGAGGCUGAGGCAGGAGAAUCACUUGAACCCAGGAGGCGGAGGUUGCAGUGAGCCGAGAUUGCACUCCAGCCUGGGUGACAGAGUGAGACCCUGUCUCAA